AUAAACCGGAGGAAGUGGGAUGACGUCAAGUCAGCAUGGCCUUUAUAUCCUGGGCUACACACACGCUACAAUGGGAAGGGACAAUAGGUUGCGAAGCCGCGAGGCGGAGCCAAUCCAAGCAAACUUCCCCCAGUUCAGAUUGCAGGCUGCAACCCGCCUGCAUGAAGUUGGAGUUGCUAGUAAACGCAGGUCAGCCAUACUGCGUUGAAUACGUUCCCGGGGCUU
Molecule: ribosomal RNA, 225 nt
Filed under: uncultured Anaerolineaceae bacterium
Lineage: Bacteria; Bacillati; Chloroflexota; Anaerolineae; Anaerolineales; Anaerolineaceae
Description: partial 16S ribosomal RNA
Rfam family: Bacterial small subunit ribosomal RNA
Source: RNAcentral